GUGACAGUGAGGGAAGGAGCACCCACUUUUCCUCCUGAAUGGUCUCAAGAGCUGGACUCUUUAUGUUGUUGACAUGAUACUUUCUUUGGAGAUUCACAAACAGGGCACAUGGUUGAAAGAAAUUAGAGAAGACCAAAAUAAAUGGAAAGACAUCCUGUGUUCACAGAUUGCAAGACUUCAUAUUUUCAAGUGGCAUUACUCUUCAAAUCGACUUACAACUUCUUUGCAGUCCUUAUCACAAUUCCAAUUGCCUUUAUGUCCAUAAUGAAAAAGCCGAUCCCAAAAUUCAUAUGGAAAUAUAAGGAACACAGAAUUGUCUAAAUGAACUAAAAAAAGAACAAAUUUGGAGAAUUCACACUUACCAAUACAAAACCAACUACAAAGCUACAUCAUCAAUCAAGAUAGUGUGUACUCAAAUAAGGCUAGCCAUUGUAGAGCAGAGGAAUAGAAUUAGAAGUCUAGAAAUAACCUCAUAUGUCUAUGGUCAGUUUAUUUUUGACAAGGGAACAAAACCAUUCAGUGGGCAUAAACCCUCUUUUCAACAAGUAGUGCUGGGAAUAUUGGAUAUCUGUGUACCAAAAAGUGAAAUUAG
Molecule: long non-coding RNA, 592 nt
Filed under: Marmota monax (woodchuck)
Lineage: Eukaryota; Metazoa; Chordata; Mammalia; Rodentia; Sciuridae
Source: RNAcentral